This 1401-nucleotide ribosomal RNA is filed under the name Pseudoduganella buxea. Its description in RNAcentral is "partial 23S ribosomal RNA". It matches the Rfam family "Bacterial large subunit ribosomal RNA", at positions 1552 to 2925 of the family's 2925-position model. The record is from RNAcentral. Lineage: Bacteria; Pseudomonadati; Pseudomonadota; Betaproteobacteria; Burkholderiales; Oxalobacteraceae.
UAAUUCAAGGGAUUGGGACGAGCGAACUUGUUCGCGAAGCAAUCGGAAGUGGUUCCAAGAAAAGCCUCUAAGCUUCAGUCAUACGAGACCGUACCGCAAACCGACACAGGUGGGCGAGAUGAGUAUUCUAAGGCGCUUGAGAGAACUCGGGAGAAGGAACUCGGCAAAUUGGUACCGUAACUUCGGGAAAAGGUACGCCCCGGUAGCUUGGUCACUUUACUGUGAUAGGGCGAAAGGGUUGCAAUAAACUGGUGGCUGCGACUGUUUAAUAAAAACACAGCACUCUGCAAACACGAAAGUGGACGUAUAGGGUGUGACGCCUGCCCGGUGCUGGAAGAUUAAAUGAUGGGGUGCAAGCUCUUGAUUGAAGUCCCAGUAAACGGCGGCCGUAACUAUAACGGUCCUAAGGUAGCGAAAUUCCUUGUCGGGUAAGUUCCGACCUGCACGAAUGGCGUAACGAUGGCCACACUGUCUCCUCCCGAGACUCAGCGAAGUUGAAGUGUUUGUGAUGAUGCAAUCUACCCGCGGCUAGACGGAAAGACCCCAUGAACCUUUACUGUAGCUUUGCAUUGGACUUUGAACCAAUCUGUGUAGGAUAGGUGGGAGGCUUUGAAGCGGGGACGCCAGUUCUCGUGGAGCCAACCUUGAAAUACCACCCUGGUUUGUUUGAGGUUCUAACCUUGGUCCGUAAUCCGGAUCGGGGACAGUGCAUGGUAGGCAGUUUGACUGGGGCGGUCUCCUCCUAAAGUGUAACGGAGGAGUUCGAAGGUACGCUAAUUACGGUCGGACAUCGUGAUGAUAGUGCAAUGGCAUAAGCGUGCUUAACUGCGAGACCGACAAGUCGAGCAGGUACGAAAGUAGGACAUAGUGAUCCGGUGGUUCUGUAUGGAAGGGCCAUCGCUCAACGGAUAAAAGGUACUCUGGGGAUAACAGGCUGAUUCCUCCCAAGAGUUCAUAUCGACGGGGGAGUUUGGCACCUCGAUGUCGGCUCAUCACAUCCUGGGGCUGUAGCCGGUCCCAAGGGUAUGGCUGUUCGCCAUUUAAAGUGGUACGUGAGCUGGGUUUAAAACGUCGUGAGACAGUUUGGUCCCUAUCUGCCGUGGGCGUUGGAAAUUUGAAGGGGGCUGCUCCUAGUACGAGAGGACCGGAGUGGACGAACCUCUGGUGUACCGGUUGUCACGCCAGUGGCAUUGCCGGGUAGCUAAGUUCGGAAGAGAUAACCGCUGAAAGCAUCUAAGCGGGAAACUUGCCUUAAGAUGAGAUUUCCCAGAGCCUUGAGCUCUUUGAAGGGUCGUUCGAGACCAGGACGUUGAUAGGUCAGGUGUGGAAGUGCAGUAAUGCAUUAAGCUAACUGAUACUAAUUGCCCGUAAGGCUUGUCCCUAUAACCUUGACGGUUAUAU